Molecule: ribosomal RNA, 468 nt
Filed under: uncultured bacterium
Lineage: Bacteria
Description: partial 16S ribosomal RNA
Rfam family: Bacterial small subunit ribosomal RNA
Source: RNAcentral
GACGAACGCUGGCGGCGUGCUUAACACAUGCAAGUCGAACGGAAAGGCCCUGCUUUUGUGGGGUGCUCGAGUGGCGAACGGGUGAGUAACACGUGAGUAACCUGCCCUUGACUUUGGGAUAACUUCAGGAAACUGGGGCUAAUACCGGAUAGGAGCUCCUGCUGCAUGGUGGGGGUUGGAAAGUUUCGGCGGUUGGGGAUGGACUCGCGGCUUAUCAGCUUGCUGGUGGGGUAGUGGCUUACCAAGGCUUUGACGGGUAGCCGGCCUGAGAGGGUGACCGGCCACAUUGGGACUGAGAUACGGCCCAGACUCCUACGGGAGGCAGCAGUGGGGAAUAUUGCACAAUGGGCGGAAGCCUGAUGCAGCCACGCCGCGUGCGGGAUGACGGCCUUCGGGUUGUAAACCGCUUUCGCCUGUGACGAAGCGUGAGUGACGGUAAUGGGUAAAGAAGCACCGGCUAACUACGUG